Herpailurus yagouaroundi (jaguarundi) is the source of this 1158-nucleotide long non-coding RNA. RefSeq lists it as uncharacterized. Lineage: Eukaryota; Metazoa; Chordata; Mammalia; Carnivora; Felidae. The record is from RefSeq and is a predicted model, not a curated record. The transcript is spliced from 3 exons.
GGGGUUGGCUCAGUACAUGAGUAGAGUCUGGAGUUUGGGGCCUGUGCCUGCCGGUGCCGUUUGAUGCUGAAAGAGAUACCACAUCUGCAAUGUGAGUCCCUCCUCUUCUCUGCCAAGGCAUGUCCUCACUAGGGCUGUUCCCCCUGAUGCAGAAAAGACAUACCGCAUACCUCAAGAUGUCUUUAUGGGCCAUUGGCCCCUGGCCUGUCUUCUCUGGGAAUAUUGUGUCUGGAUGGGUGUCAUUGACCUAGCCCUGGUUUGUGAGUGCUAGAAAGGAGGAAGGGAACAUGAGGAGAAGGAGAAUGGAGAACACACACCUAAGAGUUUUUCCUUCAAAUUGGAAUAAGCUCCAGGGGCCCACCCACUGCUAUCAUUAUGAUGUCACAGAAAGGAACAGCCAGAGCAGGGGGAAGAAAUUCAUGAAGUCAUCUGGCCCAAAGCCUUCUUCGAUCUUCCAUACCACCAGGAUGGCAGAGGUUGGUGCAUGUUUCUGACAACUGAGCUCUUGAAUACCCGAGACCACACAGCAGCAACGCUGGGGGAUGAACUCACUGAGCUGGUGCCCAGCUGCUCAUCUGGGAAGUUCUACCGGGUUCUCACUUGUAAUCAGCAAACCCAGACUCCUCACCUUAGAGACUAUCAGACCAAGCUUCUCUUGGGAUCCUUGAAGAUGGCUGGACGUUGCAAGCGACGCUAUACAGAGAAAUCGCAUCCCAGAGUGACAACGGAGGUUUCCCUGGGAUGUGUUUUGUGCUGUUUGAGCAGGAGUGAAAGCAUGUGACUUUUUAAAGGGAAACCUCAGGAAGGGAGAGUGGAAGUGGAGACAUUGCCAUAAUGCUCAGAAGGCACCCUCAGCGGAUUUGGAGAGUCUUCCUGAAGCCUCUGCUGGGAGGGGAGAGGGAGAAGCCACCGUGGGCUUGUGUGACUUUGGACACCGUGUUCGAAGGGAAGCCGUGUGACCCUUUCCCCCUCACUCCAGCCCAGCCUCACGGCAUCCAGCAGCCACCACUCGCCUCCUGAUUGCCGUACCUUUCUGCAGCCUGGAGAUUUGCAUUGUAAAUGCUGUUUGUUAGGCCCCUGAAAUAAUAUUAAUCACCGUAAAACAAUUACGUUGCAUAAUUUGUACAUAAAAAAGAAAGAGUGAACCUUUUGCUUGAA